Long non-coding RNA from Sinocyclocheilus anshuiensis, 704 nucleotides. RefSeq lists it as uncharacterized. The transcript has 5 exons. The record is from RefSeq and is a predicted model, not a curated record. Lineage: Eukaryota; Metazoa; Chordata; Actinopteri; Cypriniformes; Cyprinidae.
UGCUCCAAGCAUUAAUGAAAACACUCUUAACAGAACUAUGUGUCAAAGGAUUUACCAGAAACUCGACUAUUACAGCUCAGUGUCAUCUAAAUGACACACUUAUUGGCACAGAACAAGCUUCACAGAUGGGGCCACGCUGUGCCCCUAAUUGGCAGGUGGAGCUCUCGGCCUCAGCUGUGGCUGCUGAGACUAAUGAUGAGUCAGGCCGGACGGGCAGCAGAGAAGCGUCUGGAACGUCUCUGUCUACUUGCACAGUGACAGAGUUGCCGGGGAUGAUGUUGUUUCAGGCUGAUUAAUUUGAGUGAGAACCUUAGCGGCAGCAGCCUCAAGCAAAUGAGACAGUCCCCCUGGGAAGGAUGGCAGUGGAGAGCUUCUCUUCGGCAUGUCAUAUUGCAUCUACUGGUACUUUGUGACAGAUGAUGCCACAAAUAAUUCUAAUUUCUUCAUCCCAUCCUCUCCAACCAUUUGGUUUCAUCGUGCUUGCACAAAGACGAGGAAUAGCAGAGGACAAGGGGGAGGGAUGGAGGUUCAGGCCAUGAAGUAACAAUGGGCUUGGAUUAUGGAGCAGAGCCGACAGAGGGAGGAGGAGCCAGGAGAGGUCCAUUUUAUACACUAAAUUUUAUUUAAUUUACAAAGCCUUUCAACCACAUAAUCUGUAAAAACAUAUUAGUUCACUGUCUGGCGAUGUGUUUAUGCUGAUAAUG